This 507-nucleotide ribosomal RNA is filed under the name uncultured bacterium. RNAcentral describes it as "partial 16S ribosomal RNA". It matches the Rfam family "Bacterial small subunit ribosomal RNA", at positions 28 to 523 of the family's 1533-position model. The record is from RNAcentral.
GAUGAACGCUAGCUACAGGCUUAACACAUGCAAGUCGAGGGGUAACAAGAGAAAAGCUUGCUUUUCUUGUUGACGACCGGCGCACGGGUGAGUAACGCGUAUCCAACCUGCCCAUAACUAGGGAAUAACCUUGCGAAAGUAAGACUAAUACCCUAUAAUUUCCUUUGACGGCAUCUGACGAGGAAUAAAGAUUUAUCGGUUAUGGAUGGGGAUGCGUCUGAUUAGCUUGUUGGCGGGGUAACGGCCCACCAAGGCAACGAUCAUGUAGGGGUUCUGAGAGGAAGGUCCCCCACAUUGGAACUGAGACACGGUCCAAACUCCUACGGGAGGCAGCAGUGAGGAAUAUUGGUCAAUGGGCGAAAGCCUGAACCAGCCAAGUAGCGUGCAGGAUGACGGCCCUAUGGGUUGUAAACUGCUCUUAUACAGGAAUAAAGUUAGCCACGUGUGGUUAUUUGUAGGUACUGUAUGAAUAAGGACCGGCUAAUUCCGUGCCAGCCGCCGCCGUAA